GGUGAAUGGAUCCAUUUUGGAGACCACCACUCUAGACAGUUCCUACUGCUCCUGUUAUCUGUACUGCUCUUUUCUCCUUUAUUUCACAAAGAACUUCUUAAGAUCCUAAGAAAUGCAGCCUCAAUUAGAGCUCCGCAAUGCACUCUAGAAGGGAACUCAUCUGGAUUCCCUUCACCGGGUAGAAAGUGCAGCCCUCAGCCAGAAACACUACCUCUGACUGCCAAGGAUCCCACACAGCAUCCAGACUAUUCAGUCCACCGACUCUCUACUAUUUAUCUUAAAUCGAUGCCAGUCCACUGCGGCCUGGGUGGUCCAAGCUUGCGUUGCAGGCAGCUGCAGAGGUUCCAGCAGGCUGGAAGCCUCUGACGCAACCUUCCUUGUGAGGACUGAUUGGCCAAGAGCUGGCAGCCAGCCACGGGUGGUGUUUUUUUUUUUUUUUCUUUGCAGUGUUUGCACUUUUAUGUUUAAGCUGCUACCUUUGCUGAGCUGAACGGAGGCAAAGUGUUUGAGCUUUAUUUUCAAAACCGAGGAAGGUUAGCGAGAAGAAAGUGGUGUCUCAGGUCUCAUGUAGGUCUCUAGUAGAAGAUGAUGGAAGUUUACUUUUUUUGGUGAGCAUUUAUAGAUUCAGGCAUCUCGGAAUUUUGUGACUUCCUAAUUUCUACUUUGAGCUUCUUAAAGCGUCAGUGGUUAAAAUAAAGAAUGAUGCAAGGAAGCGGUGUGCUCCUCU
Molecule: long non-coding RNA, 727 nt
Filed under: Vulpes vulpes (red fox)
Lineage: Eukaryota; Metazoa; Chordata; Mammalia; Carnivora; Canidae
Description: lncRNA (ENSVVUG00000015302.1)
Source: RNAcentral